GACGAACGCUUGCGGCGUGCCUAAGAAAUGCAAGUCGAGCGAGGUUUAGGCUUCGGCCGACGACCUAGCGGCGAACGGUCGCGUAACACGUAAGCAACCUGCCCUAAAGUUGGGGAUAGCCCGCCGAAAGGCGGAUUAAUACCGAAUGUGGAUAUGAUUUCGCAUGUGAUUAUAUCUGAAGCAGCGAUGCGCUUUAGGAUGGGCUUGCGGCCUAUCAGUUAGUUGGUGUGGGUAACGGCCUACCAAGACGACGACGGGUAGCUGGUCUGAGAGGAUGGUCAGCCGGAUUGGGACUGAGACACGGCCCAGACUCCUACGGGGGCAGCAAUUAGGAAUCUUGCGCAAUGGGCGAAAGCCUGACGCAGCGACGCCGCGUGACCGAUGAAGUCCUUCGGGAUGUAAAGGUCUUUGUCAGGGGAAGAAGGAUGUGACGGUACCCUGCGAAUAAGACCCGGCCGUAACUACGUGUCCACGCACGCCGCGGUAAACGUACACGUAGUA
This 501-nucleotide ribosomal RNA is filed under the name uncultured bacterium. RNAcentral describes it as "bacterial SSU rRNA". It matches the Rfam family "Bacterial small subunit ribosomal RNA", at positions 28 to 532 of the family's 1533-position model. The record is from RNAcentral.